AGUGAACGCUGGCGGUAGGCCUAACACAUGCAAGUCGAACGGCAGCACAGUAAGAGCUUGCUCUUACGGGUUUCGAUUGUCUGCCGGGUGAUGACUACCUCGGAAUCUACUUUUUCGUGGGGGAUAACGUAGGGCAACUUACGCUACUACCGCAUACGCCCUACGGGUGAAAGCAGGGGAUCUUCGGACCUUGCGCGAUUGAAUGAGCCGAUGUCGGAUUAGCUAGUUGGCGGGGUAAAGGCCCACCAAGGCGACGAUCCGUAGCUGGUCUGAGAGGAUGAGCAGCCACACUGGAACUGAGACACGGUCCAGACGCCUACGGGAGGCAGCAGUGGGGAAUAUUGGACAAAGGGCGCAAGCCUGAUCCAGCCAUACCGCGGGGGUGAAGAAGGCCGUCGGGUUGUAAAGCCCUUUUGUUGGGAAAGAAAAGCAGCAGGUUAAUACCCCGCUGUUCUGACGGUACCCAAAGAAUAAGCACCGGCUAACUUCGUG
RNAcentral lists this ribosomal RNA (492 nucleotides) under uncultured bacterium. RNAcentral's name for it is "partial 16S ribosomal RNA". It matches the Rfam family "Bacterial small subunit ribosomal RNA", at positions 29 to 507 of the family's 1533-position model. The record is from RNAcentral.